This 2329-nucleotide long non-coding RNA is filed under the name Marmota monax (woodchuck). Lineage: Eukaryota; Metazoa; Chordata; Mammalia; Rodentia; Sciuridae. The record is from RNAcentral.
AGCCCCAGCCCCAGCCCCUGGUUUGUUUUUUAUUCGCAAAACUUUCUGUGAAUGCAGAGGCACCUAUUUCUCCCAUCCAAGUGCAGCUGUAACAGAGCACAGAAGUUGGUGCCAGCUGCUACUUUAAAUAUUGAGGGCAUUUAAGGUGCACAGUGGAAGCAGUGACCUCAGAGCCGGGCUGUCUCCAAGCUGGUGAUAAAUAAAUGGGGGAGAAGAGAGGCCUCUGACAGGUGAAAGGAGUAGAAGUGUUUCAGUAGCAGAGAUUAUCGUAUUGCCAUCAUCAUGGUGAAUAUUAGUUUAAGAAAAGACAUGGGUGGAUGUUAAAUCCCGUGUGGUGUGUGUGACGGGAAGGAAGACAUUCACAUGGUGUUAAUAUAGACCGCUAUUUGAAGGAGAGGUUGCUGAGUUUCGGCCAGGAAGAAGCUAGAUAAUACCUUUACUGCAUGGUCCAAAUUGACAUCCUAAUCGAGAGGCAGAUGGACUCCUGAUGCCUCUGGAUAUAAUUUCCUAAGAAGGAUACAACAUUUCUCAUGAUGUAUUUAGCUGGGAAAUUCACCUUGAAUCUAGCCACUGGGUAACAUCAGUCAAACUCGAAUCGGUUGGCAGUCUAAAGUAAUGGGCCAAUACUCUGCCAAAUAUAAUGGACAACAAGAGACAUUGGGAGCGAUUUUUAAAGAAGACCAAAACGAGACUACAAGAGCAGGGUGCGGUGGCACACGCCUGAAAUUCCAACAACUCAGGAGGCUGAGGCAGGAGGAUUGCAAGUCCUAGGCCAGCCUCAGCAAUGCAUUGAGACCCUGUCUCAAAACAAAAAGUGAGAGGGCUGGGAUGCAGCUCGGAGGUAGCCGCGAGCUUUCCUAGCAUGCACGAGCUCUGGGUCUGAUUCUUGGUGUGGGGGGAGAAGAAAGGGUGAGAGGGAAGGAGGGGACACUAAAAAGACAUGACAGGUGAAUGCUACGUCUCAUCCUGGAGGGGACCCGUAUUGACAGGGAAAUCCUCAGACACCCGUGGGAAUAACCCAUGAAAGUGGGGCUAGCGAUUGGACGGAAGUAUUGUAUUCAUGUGGAAUUUUCUGAAUUUGAUAUCUUUAUUAUGGAUCUUUAGGGGAUUAUCUGUUUUUAAGAAACUACUACCUAGCAGGGUGCGGUGGCCCACGCCUGUAAUCCCAGCAGCUCAAAGCCAGCCUCAGCAAUGGUGAGGCGCUAAGCUACUCAGUGAGACCCUGUCUCUAAAUAAAACACAAAAUAGGGCUGGGGGGUGUGGCUCAGUGGUCAAGUGCCCCUGAGUUCAAUUCCUGGUACCACCUCCCCCCAAAAUGAAAUCCCUACUGAAGUAUUAAGAUAAAGAGACACAAGAUCUGAAAGGACGUUGAUGCCUGUCACCGUGAUGGACAUACUGCUCUCAGUGGCUGUGCUAUGUGCAUGUCGACAUUACAUGACAACUUGUUAAACUGUGUUAACAGUUCUUGAAAUCUGGUGGACCAGGUGGGGUUUCUUUAGUAAGAACAACUCUUCAGUAAGUUGAAACCACUUCAAGAUGCCCACUUGAAAACCUGACCUACAAGAAUGGUGACAGUGCCAAGGCCGGGCUUUUGCUCAGGGAGCUCUGCCCAUGAGGGACAGGGCACCCUUCCUUCAGCAUCGGGACGGCCUUCCAGGCAGGGUUGAAGAGCGCGGCCACUGCAGCCUCCCCACCUGGAAAGGAGGCUGCAAGGAGGCUGCCGUGUGCACCUUCUAUAGGGGUCUCAGGAGGCUGUGUCCCCUGCAGAGUUUCCAGAAUUCUCCACAGUGCAGAGAGGGUGCAGGAAAUGAUGUAGGAAACUUUCCCCACCCAGUUGGCCAGUGAGCUGGAAGCAAGGGGGUCCCCAGCAGGCCCUCCUGGCCCCGGCUGGGCUGAAACCCUGGGGCAGAGAGAGUCCCCAGGUCGCCUGGGGAACAGCGCCUUGCACUUGCCCACCCGGAGCUGGGAGGGUGCUCUCAACAGCACCCACCGGAGGUAUGGACUGGCGGCUGGCGGGGGGUAGAGGCCGGGGUGGCCUGCUUUCGGUCAAUUCGUGUCCAGCAUUGGCAUGGAUUCUCCUUGGUUUGCUGGGUCUUCUUCUUCACAGGGGAAGUCCUCAAGAAGCUCCUGGGCCCCCACCCAUGUUCUGAGGUGGACGCGAGUCACUAGUCACACCCAGCCCCAAGCCUCUCCUACCUUCUGUAGGCAGACCUCCAGGGAGGUAGCCGCUUGCCCCUAGGGUGGACAGGGGCAGGGGCUCUCUGAGAGUCUGUUCAGGAGGGCUGUGCUCGGAGGGCAGGCUGGGGGCCCUCAGUGGUGACUCAUGGAC